This 253-nucleotide ribosomal RNA is filed under the name uncultured bacterium. RNAcentral's name for it is "partial 16S ribosomal RNA". It matches the Rfam family "Bacterial small subunit ribosomal RNA", at positions 524 to 776 of the family's 1533-position model. The record is from RNAcentral.
UACGUAGGGUGCAAGCGUUGUCCGGAAUUAUUGGGCGUAAAGAGCUCGUAGGCGGUCUGUCGCGUCGGCUGUGAAAACCUGGGGCUUAACUCCGGGCCUGCAGCCGAUACGGGCAGACUAGAGUUCGGCAGGGGAGACUGGAAUUCCUGGUGUAGCGGUGAAAUGCGCAGAUAUCAGGAGGAACACCGGUGGCGAAGGCGGGUCGCUGGGACGGUACUGACGCUGAGGUGCGAAAGCGUGGGGAGCGAACAGG